ACGAACGCUGGCGGCGUGCUUAACACAUGCAAGUCGAACGGAAAGGCCCUGCUUUUGUGGGGUGCUCGAGUGGCGAACGGGUGAGUAACACGUGAGUAACCUGCCCUUGACUUUGGGAUAACUUCAGGAAACUGGGGCUAAUACCGGAUAGGAGCUCCUGCUGCAUGGUGGGGGUUGGAAAGUUUCGGCGGUUGGGGAUGGACUCGCGGCUUAUCAGCUUGUUGGUGGGGUAGUGGCUUACCAAGGCUUUGACGGGUAGCCGGCCUGAGAGGGUGACCGGCCACAUUGGGACUGAGAUACGGCCCAGACUCCUACGGGAGGCAGCAGUGGGGAAUAUUGCACAAUGGGCGGAAGCCUGAUGCAGCAACGCCGCGUGCGGGAUGACGGCCUUCGGGUUGUAAACCGCUUUCGCCUGUGACGAAGCGUGAGUGACGGUAAUGGGUGAAGAAGCACCGGCUAACUACGUG
Molecule: ribosomal RNA, 467 nt
Filed under: uncultured bacterium
Lineage: Bacteria
Description: partial 16S ribosomal RNA
Rfam family: Bacterial small subunit ribosomal RNA
Source: RNAcentral